CGCUCCGCCCGCCCAGUCGGCUCUCGGGAAAGGGCUCGGCGCUGCCACGCGGGGAGCGCGCUCUCCGGCCCGGCCGCGGUAUGCGCGCGCUGCUCGGCCUGCUCCUGGUAUUCGGCUGCUGCACCUUCGCGUUGUACCUGCUGUCCACGCAGCUGCCCGUGGGGCCGAGGCUGGCGUCGGCCGAGGAGCCCCAAGGCAGCCGGUCACUGUGGUUCCCCUCAGAUCUAGCGGAGCUGCGGGAGCUCUCCGAGGUCCUUAGAGAGUACCGGAAGGAGCACCAGGCCUAUGUGUUCCUGCUCUUCUGCAGUGCCUACCUCUACAAACAGGGCUUUGCCAUCCCUGGCUCCAGUUUCCUGAAUGUUUUGGCUGGUGCCUUGUUUGGGCCAUGGCUGGGACUUUUGCUGUGCUGUGUGCUGACAUCGGUGGGUGCCACAUGCUGCUACCUGCUUUCCAGCAUUUUUGGCAAACAGCUGGUCAUCUCCUACUUUCCCGAUAAAGUGGCCCUGCUGCAGAGGAAGGUGGAGGAGAACAGAAACGGCCUGUUCUUUUUCCUGCUGUUCCUCAGACUCUUCCCCAUGACACCAAACUGGUUCUUGAACCUGUCGGCCCCGAUCCUGAACAUCCCCAUCGUGCAGUUUUUCUUCUCCGUGCUUAUCGGUUUGAUUCCAUACAAUUUCAUCUGCGUGCAGACUGGCUCCAUCCUGUCCACCCUCACUUCUCUGGAUGCUCUUUUCUCCUGGGAAACUGUCCUGAAGCUGCUGGCCAUAGCCCUGGUUGCUUUGGUUCCUGGAACCCUCAUCAAGAAAUUCAGCCAAAAGCACCUGGCCCUGAGUGACCCAAGGAGUACUCGUCACCUCGGUGGCAGGAAGGACGCGUGACACAGGUGCCAUGUUUACCACAGCCCUGGACUCUGCUGCUGGUCUGUGUGAUGGGCACGGUCCUCUAUUGUCCUCACUGUGUUUUAAUUACCCUCAGGAAGGUGAUGUGAACGGCGUUCUAGUGCGUGCAGAGGCCUAUCAGAAGGGCACUCUGCUUGAGGGUCCAGUCCCAUUUAGCAGGGUUCUGUGAAAUGGACUGCUUUCUAGAAAAUCUUGUUUUGGUUCUGUCCAAUAAUAGGGACUCAGUCUGUUGGGCUUGCCUCUUGCCAGUCCCUGAGAUGUCUUGGGAGAAGAUGCUGGUGGCCUUUUGGACAGGCUGUGUAACAGGUACACCUGUUAAGUCCCUGUGGAUGUUUGUAUCAGACAGAACUCUAGCCCGUUAGUCUCCUGAAGAGUGUCUUCUCUACCUUUUUGCUGAUGAUCUACCUCUCCAUAGGCCAAGGGACCCAUGGCGAACUGCCUAAGACUUACACACAGCUCGAGUGCAGUGAUUCCUGUAAUAUCCCCGUUCACACACUGAUGUUUCUAUGUCUAAGCUCCUUGUGGUUGUAUGUCUUCAGAGUUAAGCUGAUUCAAACAUGAUUAAAUAUGAAUGGAGCCAGCUUUGCAUGUUCUGAAUGUGUUCUGAGGAAAUGAUCCCUCAUCCCAAGGCCCUGCCAUGCUUUCUCUGUAUCAAAUGGCUGGUUAUGUAUUUUCCGCCUGGGAAUCCCUUCUACUGCCUCCUGCUGGGAGAGUGGCGUCAGUACAGGAGGCUGUCAGCCAGUAAACACACUGUGAUUCUUUGUUUUGUUUUGCCUUUGCAAGAACAGCUGAGGAAUUUGUACUUUUUAAUACAAACAGUUAAGAGCGGUGUGAGUGCUUGCCUGUCUGGUCAUCACUCACAGCUGUCAUUGUGUCUUCUAGCUGUGGCCCUGGGCUGAUAGCUCUGUGGGCUUGGACCUCAUGGGGACAACUCACGACAAGGACUUGCCAGCACUGCUGCUCUCAGGCAUCACAGGCUGGGCUGGUGUGUUUGUCUCAGGUCUGGGCUCAGCCAGGAGUCUUGCCAAGGCUUCAGUCGAGGCCUGAUGUGUGCGCUCGGGUUCCACAGUGAGAGUGGAUUUCCAUGUCAUGGCGUUUUUAAGGCUUUCAUUAAAAAAAGAAAUGUGUAAAAGAAGCCUUUCAAUUGAGGGGAUGACAGGAAAGAGGCUACACUUGAAGCCGGUGAUUCCAGAGCAUUUUGGAGUAGAGAGGGAGAGAAGACUUUUCUCCCCCUUUGCCUGCGUGGCCCCAGCGGGGCUCCGCACAAGUGUGCCUUAUCAGGCUUGAGCUCACAGGGGAAGGGAUUUCCCUAAUCCAUGGACAUAAACAUUCUGCAGUGAAGACAGAACUUAAGAGCUUGUCUCUGCAUGUUGCUGACUCAAAACUGCCUUUAUGAAAGGGACCAGAAUUGACUAAAAAAAUAUAAUUCAAAAGACUGGUUUAGCUCCCUAUUCCCAGCAGGCCUCUGACCAAAUCAUGCCAGCUUCCCAUUUGCCUCUCUUGGCUUCUUUAAGAGUGAUGUCAUUGGUAACAGGACAGCUGCAGGAAUGGCGGCAGAUGGCUCAGGAAGAACCAGAGUGCCUGUCUAAGCCUUUAUGGGAAAUCUCAGACAAAAUGGAAACCGCAUCUUUAGUGCUUCUCCCUGAAAUUAAGAGUCCUGGCUGCAGAACCCGGCUUGCCUUUUCCCUGAAAACCUGGCAGGGCAGCUUGUAGGACGCCAACAGCACCUUUAGGAAAAGACAGGACCAGAACACACCAGAGCUAGGAUUAAAGGUAUAUGCCAGCAGACCCAUCAAGAAUUUUCUUCCUUUAAGAGAACUUAAGUGGGCAGGCGAUCUCCAGGCCCCACCCUAUUGAGGAGCUCCUGGCAGCUGACAGCUACUGGAGGAAGGAGGAUCAUCAUUUGUCCGCGGAAGUGGUUCACUUAACUUCCCAUGCCCUACAGAUGAAUUUGGUGGAUCUAAUGGCUUAAAAUACUCAGUCUUCAAUCAGGCUACUCAAGACACCUUACAACACCACGUCAUUGCCCUGCGCAGGCUCUCCCAGAGUCCUGUAGCUAGCUCUCAGGUGAGGUAUGUUUCAAAGUGGACACAGGCAUCUCCGUUCCUGUGCUAAGCAAUUUUAAGAGGAAUUUUUAUUCAGCGACAUGAUCUAGAAGAAGAGAGGAAAUCCAGUGCUUGAUUGCGAUGCAAAACUGAAACUCCCCUUGGUAGUCAGUCCAAACCAGAUGGCCAAAGAAUGAAGGUGUUCAUCCUGCACCCAGUGACGAAGCUUGAGAUGGGCCUGGCAAGGCUUCUCAAAGCACCAACACGUGGCGGCAGCUAAGGGCACUGAAGAGCUGGCUCAGCGUUCUGCUGACUACAAGGUUCUCAAGGAAACACACUCCAGUUUCCUGCUUCAGGGCAGGCUCUGGGGGUAAGGUGAGGAGAAGCCUAUUUUCCCUUUUAACCUUGCUUAGAACAGUAAUUCUAUUCAAAAGGACGGGUUUUACUCCUAUCUUGAUGGCACAGCGAAUGACUGGAGUCCACACACACCCCUAGCAAGCCUAUGAUAGUUAAGCCAGUUAAAAGUGGCCUUAGAGUGAUGGACAGAGAGGACAGGAAUUCAGAAUGAAGACUGAUGUAGCAGGUGCGUUUCUGGGGAGGACCAACACUGAAAGGUGCCAGACAGAAGUUGGCCUUUAUGUAAACAGCUGGUUCUGCUUUGUGUUGGACAUUAAGAGUCUCUGUUCCAAGGAAUAAGGGACCUGAGGCUGGAGGAUGAGGGAAUAGUGCCUCUGAUGUCAUUCCCCAGCCCUGUGACCCCCAAAUGCCUCCACCUCCUAGAACUCUUGUCUAUUCCAGAAGCAGAUCGUGACUGGCAUUACGUAUUUCCCUUUGUUCUAGUCUUUCUGCUCUUCCCAAUUUGUGAGGCUCAGUGGGAAGGCGAUGACUUGCUUUGCUGUACACUCUUGAAACUGC
Molecule: RNA transcript, 3859 nt
Organism: Microtus oregoni (creeping vole)
Lineage: Eukaryota; Metazoa; Chordata; Mammalia; Rodentia; Cricetidae
Gene: Tmem41a
Gene name: transmembrane protein 41A
Exons: 7
Source: RefSeq, a predicted model, not a curated record